CAGGCUUAACACAUGCAAGUCGAGGGGCAGCAUGGUCUUAGCUUGCUAAGGCCGAUGGCGACCGGCGCACGGGUGAGUAACACGUAUCCAACCUGCCGUCUACUCUUGGACAGCCUUCUGAAAGGAAGAUUAAUACAAGAUGGCAUCAUGAGUCCGCAUGUUCACAUGAUUAAAGGUAUUCCGGUAGACGAUGGGGAUGCGUUCCAUUAGAUAGUAGGCGGGGUAACGGCCCACCUAGUCUUCGAUGGAUAGGGGUUCUGAGAGGAAGGUCCCCCACAUUGGAACUGAGACACGGUCCAAACUCCUACGGGAGGCAGCAGUGAGGAAUAUUGGUCAAUGGGCGAGAGCCUGAACCAGCCAAGUAGCGUGAAGGAUGACUGCCCUAUGGGUUGUAAACUUCUUUUAUAAAGGAAUAAAGUCGGGUAUGGAUACCCGUUUGCAUGUACUUUAUGAAUAAGGAUCGGCUAACUCCGUGCCAGCAGCCGCGGUAAUACGGAGGAUCCGAGCGUUAUCCGGAUUUAUUGGGUUUAAAGGGAGCGUAGAUGGAUGUUUAAGUCAGUUGUGAAAGUUUGCGGCUCAACCGUAAAAUUGCAGUUGAUACUGGAUAUCUUGAGUGCAGUUGAGGUAGGCGGAAUUCGUGGUGUAGCGGUGAAAUGCUUAGAUAUCACGAAGAACUCCGAUUGCGAAGGCAGCCUGCUAAGCUGCAACUGACAUUGAGGCUCGAAAGUGUGGGUAUCAAACAGGAUUAGAUACCCUGGUAGUCCACACGGUAAACGAUGAAUACUCGCUGUUUGCGAUAUACAGCAAGCGGCCAAGCGAAAGCGUUAAGUAUUCCACCUGGGGAGUACGCCGGCAACGGUGAAACUCAAAGGAAUUGACGGGGGCCCGCACAAGCGGAGGAACAUGUGGUUUAAUUCGAUGAUACGCGAGGAACCUUACCCGGGCUUAAAUUGCAGAUGAAUUACGGUGAAAGCCGUAAGCCGCAAGGCAUCUGUGAAGGUGCUGCAUGGUUGUCGUCAGCUCGUGCCGUGAGGUGUCGGCUUAAGUGCCAUAACGAGCGCAACCCUUGUUGUCAGUUACUAACAGGUUCCGCUGAGGACUCUGACAAGACUGCCAUCGUAAGAUGUGAGGAAGGUGGGGAUGACGUCAAAUCAGCACGGCCCUUACGUCCGGGGCUACACACGUGUUACAAUGGGGGGUACAGAGGGCCGCUACCACGCGAGUGGAUGCCAAUCCCCAAAACCUCUCUCAGUUCGGACUGGAGUCUGCAACCCGACUCCACGAAGCUGGAUUCGCUAGUAAUCGCGCAUCAGCCACGGCGCGGUGAAUACGUUCCCGGGCCUUGUACACACCGCCCGUCAAGCCAUGGGAGCCGGGGGUACCUGAAGUGCGUAACCGCGAGGAGCGCCCUAGGGUAAAACUGGUGACUGG
Molecule: ribosomal RNA, 1431 nt
Filed under: uncultured organism
Description: 16S ribosomal RNA
Rfam family: Bacterial small subunit ribosomal RNA
Source: RNAcentral